Long non-coding RNA from Rosa rugosa (rugosa rose), 438 nucleotides. RefSeq lists it as uncharacterized. NCBI's taxonomy places the organism in Eukaryota, Viridiplantae, Streptophyta, Magnoliopsida, Rosales, Rosaceae. The record is from RefSeq and is a predicted model, not a curated record. The transcript is spliced from 3 exons.
AUUCCCCCCAAACUUCAUCCUCGAGCUCGCCUCAACGUCCUGAAGCUCCUAGAAGUGGCCUUGCACGGCGGCGCUACUCGUGGUGGCGGCUGGAAGCCAGACCCGAUCAAAUCGAAAACCGAAGCUUCGAGCAAUAUAUCUCGCGCUACAGGACGUUGUUUUGAGUGUUUCUUGAACUGGUGAACUCAGAGUGAGGAUCUGAACAACUUUCCAGAAGGUAUCGAGGCCUGAAGUUGCAGUUUUUACGUCGAACUAGGAGCUCGCCGGUUUCUGGGUUUUUCCGGCCAACCGACUGGUUUGAGGUGAUCGACGGUUUGAUUUGGCGGACGAUUCGUGAAAGUGUAUUUUGAGCUGUUAAGAAGACGCAGCGGGAAUUUAGAGCGGGUAAUCCUACAGGUCAGGAGAACCAGGACGGUGAUCGGGCUGCUUAGAGUAGUG